GGCGUUGUGGCAAGUCUCCAAGAAGAGAGGGGCGAUUUUGGGGAGAAGACCAUGGGGGCCGAAGCGAUGGGAGAAUAAGUUGGAGAAAGGGGUGAAGUGAGGGUUGGCAUGGGAGGCGAUCAGGAUUCAGAUAUCAAGGGCGUCCUAGAGUUCCUAGAAGAACUAACUGUGAAGGAGUCGAGGUGGGUCUCGCCGUGGAGAGCUAGGUUGGUGAGGAAAAAAAUGGCGUGACACUCCACCGUUAGCGAACUCAGCUUUUUUAACGCCGUUAGUUUUGGAGGACGGAAAAUUAAGGUUUCGUGAAAGAGGAGGACUAAGAUGUACCUUACUUUGAAAGAUGGACUAAAAACAAAUUUGUUUUAUAGUUUAUGGACUAAAAACAUAUUUAACCUUUAAAAUAAAUACAUAAAAUAUAUUAAAAUUAUAUUUUAAU
Molecule: long non-coding RNA, 433 nt
Filed under: Vigna radiata
Lineage: Eukaryota; Viridiplantae; Streptophyta; Magnoliopsida; Fabales; Fabaceae
Description: long non-coding RNA (VRAD_LNC008913)
Source: RNAcentral